This 501-nucleotide ribosomal RNA is filed under the name uncultured bacterium. RNAcentral's name for it is "bacterial SSU rRNA". It matches the Rfam family "Bacterial small subunit ribosomal RNA", at positions 10 to 507 of the family's 1533-position model. The record is from RNAcentral.
AGUUUGAUCAUGGCUCAGAUUGAACGCUGGCGGCAUGCUUAACACAUGCACGUCGAACGCGAAAGUCCUUCGGGGCGAGUAGAGUGGCGGACGGGUGAGUAACGCGUGGGAAUCUACCCUAGAGCGGGGGACAACCCGGGGAAACCCGGGCUAAUACCGCAUACGUCCUACGGGAGAAAGAGGGCCUCUGCUUGCACGCUCUCACUCCAGGAUGAGCCCACGUCCGAUUAGCUAGUUGGUAGGGUAAAGGCCUACCAAGGCCACGAUCGGUAGCUGGUCUGAGAGGAUGAUCAGCCACACUGGGACUGAGACACGGCCCAGACUCCUACGGGAGGCAGCAGUGGGGAACAUUGGACAAUGGGCGCAAGCCUGAUCCAGCAAUGCCGCGUGUGUGAAGAAGGCCUGCGGGUUGUAAAGCACUUUCAGUGGGGAAGAACAGAUUCGGGUCAAUACCCCGGAGCCCUGACGUUACCCACAGAAGAAGCACCGGCUAACUCCGUG